This 501-nucleotide ribosomal RNA is filed under the name uncultured bacterium. RNAcentral describes it as "partial 16S ribosomal RNA". It matches the Rfam family "Bacterial small subunit ribosomal RNA", at positions 30 to 523 of the family's 1533-position model. The record is from RNAcentral.
AUUGAACGCUGGCGGCAGGCUUAACACAUGCAAGUCGAGCGGAGAGAGGUAGCUUGCUACUGAUCUUAGCGGCGGACGGGUGAGUAAUGCUUAGGAAUCUGCCUAUUAGUGGGGGACAACAUUUCGUAAGGAAUGCUAAUACCGCAUACGUCCUACGGGAGAAAGCAGGGGAUCUUCGGACCUUGCGCUAAUAGAUGAGCCUAAGUCGGAUUAGCUAGUUGGUGGGGUAAAGGCCUGCCAAGGCGACGAUCUGUAGCGGGUCUGAGAGGAUGGUCCGCCACACUGGGACUGAGACACGACCCAGACUCCUACGGGAGGCAGCAGUGGGGAAUAUUGGACAAUGGGGGGAACCCUGAUCCAGCCAUGCCGCGUGUGUGAAGAAGGCCUUAUGGUUGUAAAGCACUUUAAGCGAGGAGGAGGCUACUGAGACUAAUACUCUUGGAUAGUGGACGUUACUCGCAGAAUAAGCACCGGCUAACUCAGUGCCAGCCGCCGCAGUAA